RNAcentral lists this long non-coding RNA (332 nucleotides) under Salvia miltiorrhiza (redroot sage). RNAcentral describes it as "long non-coding RNA (SMIL_LNC010293)". Lineage: Eukaryota; Viridiplantae; Streptophyta; Magnoliopsida; Lamiales; Lamiaceae. The record is from RNAcentral.
GGAGUAUGCCUGUGUGUGGAUGGUUUAUGUUUUUUCUUUAUCUGUUUAGAGCUUGGUGGUCAUAGACGUUUAUUUCUCUGUUUCAUGUGUCAUUUUCUUUGCUUUUUUUUUUGGUGUUGCCAUGUAUAGGACUAUUGAGCUAAUCGCCUCUGUACUUCAGUGUGUUGGUACUCCCGCCUUUUAGCUUAAUGGGGAGUUUUGAUGAAGUUAGCUUCUAUUUAAAAGGGAUCAUUGUCUUACUUUUUUAUGCUUUUUCAUAUUCUUCUCACAUGCCUUGGUUAUUGAUGAAUCUACAUAAAUGAAAAAAUGGGAGAUUGCUAGUGUGUUUUGAC